Long non-coding RNA from Ailuropoda melanoleuca (giant panda), 485 nucleotides. RefSeq lists it as uncharacterized. The record is from RefSeq and is a predicted model, not a curated record. NCBI's taxonomy places the organism in Eukaryota, Metazoa, Chordata, Mammalia, Carnivora, Ursidae. The transcript is spliced from 4 exons.
GGAAAAACUGCCUUACGAAAUCUCGGCCGCAGAGACAUUUAGGACUUUAAACUGAGUCUGAUCGCUCUCCCUGUGUCCUAUUCUCGUUGGGUUAAGAGUUUCACGAGAUGAGAAAACUGAACACAAAGAGUUGCGGUCACUGGUCCAAGUUGCCACAGCUGCUAAGUGGAUUAACCCAGACAGUCGGCCUCACAGGAUUUUCUGUCAGCAACUUACAUUUCCCCAAGUUUGUAUAUAACAAAUCAUUGAGGACAUACUGUGAGGCAGUCAUUUGCCUACUGUGAACAGAUACAUUCCAGGUUUCUAUCUAAAGCCAAGAAGCAAGGUGACCAACACUGGAAGGCCUCUACACUGUAGCUAUGGCACUUCUCCAAAGCAGAGUGAGUCUCCAAUGGGAUGCAAGACAGAAUUUCUUAAUUGUUUUUUCAGUGACUCUUGUAUAUUCUUAUAAGCUGACAUAGUCAAAUGCUUGUUUUUCAGUUACA